UAUACCGUGAAACUGCGAAUGGCUCAUUAAAUCAGUUAUCGUUUAUUUGAUAGUACCUUACUACUUGGAUAACCGUGGUAAUUCUAGAGCUAAUACAUGCUAAAAACCUCGACUUCGGAAGGGGUGUAUUUAUUAGAUAAAAAACCAAUGCCCUUCGGGGCUCCUUGGUGAUUCAUAAUAACUUAACGAAUCGCAUGGCCUUGUGCCGGCGAUGGUUCAUUCAAAUUUCUGCCCUAUCAACUUUCGAUUGUAAUGUAGUGGAUUACAAUGGUUUCAACGGGUAACGGGGAAUUAGGGUUCUAUUCCGGAGAGGGAGCCUGAGAAACGGCUACCACAUCCAAGGAAGGCAGCAGGCGCGCAAAUUACCCAAUCCCGACACGGGGAGGUAGUGACAAUAAAUACUGAUACAGGGCUCUUUUGGGUCUUGUAAUUGGAAUGAGUACAAUUUAAAUCCCUUAACGAGGAACAAUUGGAGGGCAAGUCUGGUGCCAGCAGCCGCGGUAAUUCCAGCUCCAAUAGCGUAUAUUAAAGUUGUUGCAGUUAAAAAGCUCGUAGUUGAACCUUGGGCCUGGUUGGUCGGUCCGCCUCACCGCGUGCACUGAUCCGACCGGGUCUUUCCUUCUGGGGAGCCGCAUGCACUUCAUUGUGUGUGUCGGGGAACCAGGACUUUUACUUUGAAAAAAUUAGAGUGUUCAAAGCAGGCCUAUGCUCGAAUACAUUAGCAUGGAAUAAUAGAAUAGGACGUGUGGUUCUAUUUUGUUGGUUUCUAGGACCGCCGUAAUGAUUAAUAGGGAUAGUCGGGGGCAUCAGUAUUCAAUUGUCAGAGGUGAAAUUCUUGGAUUUAUUGAAGACUAACUACUGCGAAAGCAUUUGCCAAGGAUGUUUUCAUUAAUCAGUGAACGAAAGUUAGGGGAUCGAAGACGAUCAGAUACCGUCGUAGUCUUAACCAUAAACUAUGCCGACUAGGGAUCGGGCGAUGUUAUCUUUUUGACUCGCUCGGCACCUUACGAGAAAUCAAAGUCUUGGGUCUGGGGG
Molecule: ribosomal RNA, 1035 nt
Filed under: Chalara austriaca
Lineage: Eukaryota; Fungi; Ascomycota; Leotiomycetes; Helotiales
Description: SSU rRNA
Rfam family: Eukaryotic small subunit ribosomal RNA
Source: RNAcentral